UACGGGGGGGGCAAGCGUUGUUCGGAAUUACUGGGCGUAAAGGGCGCGUAGGCGGUUGGAUAAGUCAGCUGUGAAAACCACGGGCUUAACUCGUGGCCUGCAGUUGGGACUGUCUGGCUUGAGUGUGGGAGAGGAGAGUGGAAUUCCUGGUGUAGCGGUGAAAUGCGUAGAUAUCAGGAGGAACACCGGUGGCGAAGGCGGCUCUCUGGACCACAACUGACGCUGAGGCGCGAAAGCUAGGGGAGCAAACAGG
This 253-nucleotide ribosomal RNA is filed under the name uncultured bacterium. RNAcentral's name for it is "partial 16S ribosomal RNA". It matches the Rfam family "Bacterial small subunit ribosomal RNA", at positions 524 to 776 of the family's 1533-position model. The record is from RNAcentral.